This 402-nucleotide ribosomal RNA is filed under the name uncultured bacterium. RNAcentral's name for it is "bacterial SSU rRNA". It matches the Rfam family "Bacterial small subunit ribosomal RNA", at positions 356 to 774 of the family's 1533-position model. The record is from RNAcentral.
GAGGGAUAUUGGUCAAUGGGCGCAAGCCUGAACCAGCGACGCCGCGUGGGUGAAGAAGGUCUUCGGAUCGUAAAGCCCUUUUCCCACUGAAGAGGAAGGACGGUAGGUGGGGAAGAAGUCUCGGCUAACUACGUGCCAGCAGCCGCGGUAAAACGUAGGAGACAAGCGUUAUCCGGAGUUACUGGGCGUAAAGGGCGUGCAGGUGGCGUCUUAAGUCUGUUGUGAAAGCGCCUGGCUUAACCGGGCGAGGCCAAUGGAGACUGAGAGGCUGGAGGACGGCGGAGGGCGGUGGAAUGCCGGGUGUAGUGGUGAAAUGCGUAGAGAUCCGGAGGAACACCAGAGGCGAAGGCGGCACUCUAAGCCGUACCUGACACUGAGACGCGACAGCACGGGGAGCAAACG